AGGGGGGGUGCGGUGGGGCAGAUAAGAGAAUAAAAGGCUGCUGGAAUAGGCAGUGGCAAUCCGUUUGGGUAGUCUUCCUUGCUGUGGAGGUUUUGUUUUUUCACUCUUUGUAGUAAAUCUUGCUGCUGAUCACUUUUUGGGUGCAUGCUGGCUUUAUGAGCUGUAACGCUCACUGCGAAGGUCUGCAGCUUCACUCCUGAAGCCAGCGAGACCAGGAAUCCACCGGGAGGAAUGAAUAAGUCCAGGCGUGCUGCCUUAAGAGCUGUAACACUCCUGGCAAAGGCCUGCAGCUUCACUCCUGAAGCCAGCGAGACCGUGAACCCACCAGAAGGAAGAAACUCCGAACACAUCCGAACAUCAGAAGGAACAAACUCUGGACACGCCGCCUUUAAGAACUGUGACACUCACCGCGAGGGUCUGCGGCUUCAUUCUUGAAACCACAGACACUAGUAUACUCUAAUAUUUGGAAAGACAACUGGCUUUGGAGAUCGGCAGCUUUGGAAUUACAUCUCAGCUUCACCACUUACUGGCUGUAGGAGCCAAUCAUCAGAUAGAUAAAAGUAGUAAUGAGUUGGACCAAUAAAAAGUGCAAAGCCUGGCUUUCUUCAAGUCCUCAUGCUCCGAGAGUCUAAGUAACAACGUUGUGAGGCUGCAAUUUUCUUUCAGGUUGCAG
This is a long non-coding RNA of Pan troglodytes (chimpanzee), 673 nucleotides long. RefSeq lists it as uncharacterized. Lineage: Eukaryota; Metazoa; Chordata; Mammalia; Primates; Hominidae. The record is from RefSeq and is a predicted model, not a curated record. The transcript has 3 exons.